Molecule: ribosomal RNA, 497 nt
Filed under: uncultured bacterium
Lineage: Bacteria
Description: partial 16S ribosomal RNA
Rfam family: Bacterial small subunit ribosomal RNA
Source: RNAcentral
GAUGAACGCUGGCGGCGUGCCUAAUACAUGCAAGUCGAGCGAACAGACGAGGAGCUUGCUCCUCUGACGUUAGCGGCGGACGGGUGAGUAACACGUGGAUAACCUACCUAUAAGACUGGGAUAACUUCGGGAAACCGGAGCUAAUACCGGAUAAUAUAUUGAACCGCAUGGUUCAAUAGUGAAAGACGGUUUUGCUGUCACUUAUAGAUGGAUCCGCGCCGCAUUAGCUAGUUGGUAAGGUAACGGCUUACCAAGGCAACGUUGCGUAGCCGACCUGAGAGGGUGAUCGGCCACACUGGAACUGAGACACGGUCCAGACUCCUACGGGAGGCAGCAGUAGGGAAUCUUCCGCAAUGGGCGAAAGCCUGACGGAGCAACGCCGCGUGAGUGAUGAAGGUCUUCGGAUCGUAAAACUCUGUUAUUAGGGAAGAACAAAUGUGUAAGUAACUAUGCACGUUUUGACGGUACCUAAUCAGAAAGCCACGGCUAACUACGUG